RNAcentral lists this ribosomal RNA (521 nucleotides) under uncultured eukaryote. Its description in RNAcentral is "SSU rRNA". It matches the Rfam family "Eukaryotic small subunit ribosomal RNA", at positions 524 to 1062 of the family's 1831-position model. The record is from RNAcentral.
UUUACAACCCUUACCGAAAGCAAUUGGAGGGCAAGUCUGGUGCCAGCAGCCGCGGUAAUUCCAGCUCCAAUAGCGUAUAUUAAAGUUGUUGCAGUUAAAAAGCUCGUAGUUGAAGUUCUGAUUGUUCGGGCCUCGCGCUUUAUAGCCGAGGAACCGACAGUCAUCCGCUUGCAAAUAUAUGUUCGCCUUUAACCGGGUGGCUAUAUGAGUAAGCAAUUUACCUUGAGAAAAAACAGAGUGUUCCAGGCAGGUUUGUCCGGAAUGCAUUAGCAUGGAAUAAUAGAAUAUGACUGAAGUCGAUUUAUUGGUUUAAGGCUUUAGUAAUGAUUAAUAGGAACAGUCGGGGGCAUUGGUACUUGACAGUCAGAGGUGAAAUUCUAGGAUUUGUCAAAGACUAACAAAUGCGAAAGCAUUUGCCAAGGAUGUUUUCAUUAAUCAAGAACGAAAGUUAGGGGAUCAAAGACGAUCAGAUACCGUCCUAGUCUUAACUAUAAACUAUACGACUCGGAUUCAGAUGAAUC